This 441-nucleotide ribosomal RNA is filed under the name uncultured bacterium. Its description in RNAcentral is "partial 16S ribosomal RNA". It matches the Rfam family "Bacterial small subunit ribosomal RNA", at positions 338 to 795 of the family's 1533-position model. The record is from RNAcentral.
CCUACGGGAGGCAGCAGUGGGGGAUAUUGCACAAUGGGGGAAACCCUGAUGCAGCGACGCCGCGUGGGUGAAGAAGUAUUUCGGUAUGUAAAGCCCUAUCAGCAGGGAAGAAAGAAGACGGUACCUGACUAAGAAGCCCCGGCUAACUACGUGCCAGCAGCCGCGGUAAUACGUAGGGGGCGAGCGUUAUCCGGAUUCACUGGGUGUAAAGGGAGCGUAGACGGCCGUGCAAGCCAGGAGUGAAGGCCCGGGGCCCAACCCCGGGACUGCUCUUGGAACUGUGCGGCUGGAGUGCGGGAGGGGCAGGCGGAAUUCCUGGGGUAGCGGUGAAAUGCGUAGAUAUCAGGAGGAACACCGGCGGCGAAGGCGGCCUGCUGGACCGCGACUGACGUUGAGGCUCGAAAGCGUGGGGAGCGAACAGGAUUAGAUACCCGAGUAGUC